This is a non-coding RNA of Bactrocera oleae (olive fruit fly), 987 nucleotides long. Lineage: Eukaryota; Metazoa; Arthropoda; Insecta; Diptera; Tephritidae. The record is from RefSeq and is a predicted model, not a curated record.
UCAUUCACAUCGGACACAAGGUGCUGAGAGCAGCGAUAUUAAGUGUCUUGUAAGCGCACUUAAUAUUAGGCAUCGCAAACAACAACAACAAUAGUGAACUGUACAAAUAACAAGCGCAAUAAGCAGGCGUUCUAGAUUUCAAAUUAAAUUUAACAAAUGCAAUUGUGUACAGCAGCCGAAAUCUACUCAAAACUAUAAAUGACAGAUUAAUAAAAUGCGGCAGCUGAGCCGGAAGAGGGGUGAGGUGAAGAGCGGUGUGGAGAUAUAAGGAAGAGAAUAUGGCGUGGCAGGACGGGUACGCCGAGCAAAAGUGUGGCACACAACAAAUGAUUGCCAACAGUUGCGGGCUAUUACAAAAAUAAAAGCACAACAGCAACAGCAACAAGAACAAACAAAUAAAUAAUUUUAAAAGAAGAAGAAAUUCAUAUUUUUCGCCUGUUGGCAGAUCAAUAAGGAAAUUUUGACUAACCGUGCUUGUUUGGGUGUGUACUUAUGGAAGAUUUAGAGAACAUGCGUUGCUUAAUUGCAUGUGGUGACAGAACCGUUAUAAGUAAGGGAAAAAGAGACAAAAUUCAUGAAAGAAAAAAGAAAAUACAUUCAUUCAAGUAUUGUAAAGGAAGCGGAUCUACUGUGCUACAUCCUUGUGUGGAAUAUACCACUAUUUAUUGCGGACAUACGAGAGUACCAUUAAGUUUGGUGUGUUUAUUGUAUAAGCCGGCUAAAGGAUUGGGUAGUGUAAUCAUUAACUAUUUUGGCAAAAUGAAAUUCCAGCACAUCAGCUACCCGAAUUGGUGUACCUUUUUUGUAAAAUCAAAUAAUUUAAAAUAAAUAAGUUAAGAGCUUAAAAUUGUUUUGUCAAAAACAAAGAAAGGACAAGAAUUUUGGAUGAAAUAUGGGUAUAAAAGUUAAAAGUUUGGUUGUGGUUGAAAAUAUUUUCGGAAGGUAUGUAAGAAUUGUCAAUUAAAUAAUAUAUUAAUUCGAACGGCU